RNAcentral lists this long non-coding RNA (692 nucleotides) under Linum usitatissimum (flax). RNAcentral describes it as "long non-coding RNA (LUSI_LNC002027)". The record is from RNAcentral. Lineage: Eukaryota; Viridiplantae; Streptophyta; Magnoliopsida; Malpighiales; Linaceae.
UGAAUUACCACCCAACAAGAAAUUCCCCCUCCCACCGCCUACGUUGUUGUUGUUGUCGUUGUCCAUUUGAUUCUGAUAACCACUCUUGUUGUUGUUGUUGUUGUUGUUGCUGUUGUUGUUGUUGUACUCCUCCUCUAUCAAGGGACCAGAUUUGAUUUAAAUACUGCAAACCCUAAAAUAGAAGAUGAUGAUGAUGAUGAUAGGCGAUUGAGGCGGUAUAAUAAACCCUAGGUAGCUCCGAAACCUAGGAAUAUUUCCAUAUACAGAAAUCAGCAAAAAUGGAAACUUAGAUGAGAAGCAUACAAAGGGAGAUAUGAGAGAUAAACAUACAUGGAAGUUUCAGCAAAGAUUGCACCACAUAUGUAGUUAGUAAGUAGCCAGUAGCCUGAUGUGGGUAUUUAAUUAAUAAUAUGCAGUUGAUAAUCAAUGAGGGGAAGGAGGAGCUGUGUGUUUAAGAGAGAAAAAAGAGAAGAACAGAUGGGAGAAACAAAGGAGGAACCGGCAAAGGGCUGCGUUGCUUGGGUGGAUGACAAGACUUUCUCUUUUCCUUUGAUUGAUUGAUUUCAUUUUUUAUUUUCUCCUUUUUAUUAUUAUUAUUUUUCUUGAAUAAAAAUAAAAUAAAUAAAUAAAAAGCAACGACAAUCAACGACCACAAAGAGAUAAGACGAUGAGGGGGCCGCCUCCUCCCCUCC